This 72-nucleotide transfer RNA is filed under the name Perca flavescens (yellow perch). It matches the Rfam family "tRNA". Rfam says of the family: Transfer RNA (tRNA) molecules are approximately 80 nucleotides in length. Their secondary structure includes four short double-helical elements and three loops (D, anti-codon, and T loops). Lineage: Eukaryota; Metazoa; Chordata; Actinopteri; Perciformes; Percidae. The record is from Rfam by way of RNAcentral.
GCGAUGGUGGUAUAGAGGUGAGCAUAGCUGCCUUCCAAGCAGUUGACAUGGGCUCUGUUCCCAGCCAUCGCA